Molecule: ribosomal RNA, 440 nt
Filed under: uncultured bacterium
Lineage: Bacteria
Description: partial 16S ribosomal RNA
Rfam family: Bacterial small subunit ribosomal RNA
Source: RNAcentral
CCUACGGGCGGCAGCAGUAGGGAAUAUUGCUCAAUGGGGGAAACCCUGAAGCAGCAACGCCGCGUGGAGGAUGAAGGUUUUCGGAUUGUAAACUCCUUUUGUUAGAGAAGAUAAUGACGGUAUCUAACGAAUAAGCACCGGCUAACUCCGUGCCAGCAGCCGCGGUACUACGGAGGGUGCAAGGGUUACUCGGAAUCACUGGGCGUAAAGAGCGCGGAGGCGGGAUAGCAAGUCAGAUGUGAAAUCCGAUGGCUUAACCAUAGAACUGCCGUUGAAACUGUUAUUCUAGAGUAUGGGGGAGGUAGGUGGAAUGCUUGGUGUAGGGGUAAAAUCCGUAGAGAUCAAGAGGAAUACUCAUUGCGAAGGCGACCUGCUAGAACAUAACUGACGCUGAUGCGCGAAAGCGUGGGGAGCAAACAGGAUUAGAUACCCGAGUAGUC